AGCACAACAGCUCGCCCGAACUGUCAAGUUAAGCAACGAUUUGGGCCUGACUGGUACUUGGAUCGGAAACGGCCUGGGAGUCCCAGGGUGCAGUGAGCA
This 99-nucleotide ribosomal RNA is filed under the name Gongylonema pulchrum. Lineage: Eukaryota; Metazoa; Nematoda; Chromadorea; Rhabditida; Gongylonematidae. The record is from RNAcentral.